Molecule: ribosomal RNA, 503 nt
Filed under: uncultured bacterium
Lineage: Bacteria
Description: partial 16S ribosomal RNA
Rfam family: Bacterial small subunit ribosomal RNA
Source: RNAcentral
AUUGAACGCUGGCGGCAGGCUUAACACAUGCAAGUCGAGCGGGGUGAUGGUGCUUGCACUAUCACUUAGCGGCGGACGGGUGAGUAAUGCUUAGGAAUCUGCCUAUUAGUGGGGGACAACAUCUCGAAAGGGAUGCUAAUACCGCAUACGUCCUACGGGAGAAAGCAGGGGAUCACUUGUGACCUUGCGCUAAUAGAUGAGCCUAAGUCGGAUUAGCUAGUUGGUGGGGUAAAGGCCUACCAAGGCGACGAUCUGUAGCGGGUCUGAGAGGAUGAACCGCUACACUGGGACUGAGACACGGCCCAGAGUCCUACGGGAGGCAGCAGUGGGGAAUAUUGGACAAUGGGGGGAACCCUGAUCCAGCCAUGCCGCGUGUGUGAAGAAGGCCUUAUGGUUGUAAAGCACUUUAAGCGAGGAGGAGGCUCUUUUGGUUAAUACCCAAGAUGAGUGGACGUUACUCGCAGAAUAAGCACCGGCUAGCUCUGUGCCAGCCGCCGCGGUAA